GCCAGGUGUGGUGGUGCACACCUGUAUUCCCAACUACUCGGGAGGCUGAGGUGGGAGGAUCGCUUGAGCCUAGGAGGCUGAGGUUGCAUUGAACCAAUCACGCCAUUGCCCUCCAGCCUGGGCAACAGAGGGGAGACUCCAUCUAAAAAAAAAAGGCUGGGCGCAGUGGCUCACGCCUGUAAUCCCAGCACUUUGGGAGGCUGGGGCGAGUGGAUCACCUGAGGUCAGGAGUUCGAGACCAGCCUGGCCAACAUAGUGAAACCUCGUCUCU
This is an unclassified non-coding RNA of Macaca nemestrina (pig-tailed macaque), 271 nucleotides long. It matches the Rfam family "Metazoan signal recognition particle RNA". Rfam says of the family: The signal recognition particle (SRP) is a universally conserved ribonucleoprotein. NCBI's taxonomy places the organism in Eukaryota, Metazoa, Chordata, Mammalia, Primates, Cercopithecidae. The record is from Ensembl.